GGUUUAUGUUUUGGUUGUUGGAAUACUUAUUUUUAGUAUAAUGAGUGAAAAUUAGGGGUUUACCUAUAGAUAAUUAUAGUACUGAGAAGGAAAGUUUUUUAUUUGUUUUUAAUAUUAGGUUGGUUAUUACCUUUUGUAUUAGGGGUGAUUUAUGUGUUUUACGUUUGUUUUUUCUCGAUGAACAUCGGGCUAUUUUUCCUUAAAGAAUUCUCGUUGUAUAGAGUUGAGUAGGGGAUUAUAGGUAUGAAAUAUUAUUCAAGUUGUUUUUUAUCUGGUUCUUUAAGAAAUUUAAUAGAAGGUAGUGUUAUUAUGGCGGUGAAUAGGGAUUAGCUUAUUUAUUUUUUAUAUUGUUUUAUUUUUGUGGUUUGUUUGUUAAGUUGAUAGUGCUUGUUUAAAUGGAGUUAUUAUCGGGCAAGAUGUUUUGAAUUAUUUUUUUGUUUUUAUUUUGAUAUUAGGGUUAUGUUAUUAAUUUUAAAUGGUUUGUAAUAAUGAUUAUAUUAGUAAUAUUUUUUGUUAAAAGGCUUUUUGGUGGUUAUCUAGAAGGUGAAGGAGGUAAGCUAUUUUUAAAAUUGGGGUUGAUGAAUUCGGCAAAGAUGAAUUUCUGACUGUUUAGCAAAGACAUUGUUUUUUGUUGAGGUAAAAAAUAAGUUCUGUCCACUGCUAUGUAGUGAAGGGCUGCAGUAUUUUGACUGUAUGAAGGUAGCAUAAUCAUUAGCUUCUUAAUUAGAAGCUGGUAUGAAGGUGAAACAGGGAUUUGCUGUAUUUUUCCUAUUUGUUGAAUUUUAUUUUCGCGUGAAAAAUCGCGGUUGAAUUAAAGGGACAAGAAGACCCUAAUAAGUUUUAUUUUCUUUCUUAAUGAGUGUAUAGGUUUUAUGAUUAAUGCAAUUUAUUUUAGGGGGUUUGGCUGGGGCGGCAGUUUGUUUAACACAGACUAAUUUUUAACUUUUUAUGGCGAUAUUUUGGACCUAGUUUGUUUAGAUUAGUGUAAAAUUACUGUAGGGAUAACAGCGUAAUUUUUUUUGAGAGUUCUAAUUGACGAUAAA
RNAcentral lists this ribosomal RNA (1043 nucleotides) under Pleuroloma flavipes. RNAcentral describes it as "partial large subunit ribosomal RNA". The record is from RNAcentral. Lineage: Eukaryota; Metazoa; Arthropoda; Diplopoda; Polydesmida; Xystodesmidae.